UCAGAAGACAGAGGAAGACAUUUCCCUGGGACACUCUCAUGGAUGAUCACGCAGCUCUAUAUUGCGGAAUAAUCGAAGCUCCCAAAGGCAUCGGCGAUCUCUUUUCUUAUUGCCAAGGAACCCUCGGAGGGAGGUGUUAGAAGUAGAUGUUCAUAACAGGGUCCAUCGUCGGAAAGUCCAACAUCCUCCGCAUCUCGAAGAUCACGAUGCCCAGAGACCACCAAUCUGCAGAUCUUGAAUACGGCAGCCUGGAGAGGACUUCGGGAGCCAUGUAGUCAUAGGUUCCAGUCAGGCUGCGUGUUCUGUCCCCAUAGCCAAUUCCUGCAAAAACAGUAACUGUAAGUAAACUGGAAACCAGUGGGGCUUAUUUAUCAGUAGCGGCUCAGACUCAAAGUACAAGAAAGGAACAGUUCAGUUUGUUUUCUUUUCAUCCUGAGCUGCAUGAUCAGCAAACAAACUGAACAGUUAGGUCCCAUGUGGCCCCCCUUUCUAACUGACUAACAGGUUAGAGAGAUGCAAAAAUAUAAGGUUUUUAUUACAUUAGACGUCUUUCUAUAGAUUACAUUCUAGGGUAACUCCGAUCUAUGUUCUCACUAAAUAUUAAGUGAUACAAAUCAAUUGCCUAACAAUUGGCACCCUCUAGUAAUUCACCUUUCCUUCUCCUUUAAUCUGAUCUGCUAAAGCAUAACUCUUUAGGUGAAUUUCACUCUUGCGUUCUCAUAAUAUGAAACUACAAAUGUCAGUCACUUAGUGAGUCUCAAAAACAUAACACGAAGCGCAACCCUUUUUUGACAUGUAAGUUUAUGAGAAACCUUACCGUCUUUGCAUAGUCCGAAAUCAGCCAGUUUGAUGUACCCGUUGCUGUCUAAGAGCAGGUUUUCCGGCUUGAGAUCUCUGUUAAUACAACGGCAAAUGUUAGAAAAGUACAAGUUCACUGGCACACAAAAGGGGAAAUAAUUAGUGAUUAUAUAGUGAAUAACAACCUUUUUUAAACUUUAAGUCACUGAGGAGAUUCUUGACCAUAUAAAGGCACAAGGCUGAAGUUGUCAUGCUCUUGUGGAGCAAGCUCUAUAGGGGACAUUAAUCGUGGCUUCUUAAAAGUUUAGCAGUAAUAUUCUCUUAUAUUUUAUAUUGCAAAUGUUUUCAUAUACUUAAAAAAAGUAUUGAUAUAUAUCUAUACUUACCGGUGUAUGAUACCAUUUUCGUGCAAAUAGGAGAUGGCCAGCACUGUGCACGCAGCAUAGAACCUGCAAAGAGAAAAUGACUCCCAUCAGUAGGUUAUUGAAUACAUAGCCAUUUAUUUGUUAGUGUAGCACAGGGUGGUGAUAUCUCAGUCUAAAUAUUACAGGCUCGCUGUGAUUUAAGAGACCCACUGACUAUAAUGGUAAGUUGUGUAUGCAGCUCCGAACUUAUUAAAAAUUUCUUAUGUAUUUCUAAAUAAAGCCUCUUGCAUUUGUGUAAUAUGGCUGCUUCCUUCGAUAAACAAGGAGCCAGAUCCAUAUGCUAUUUAUGGUUUUCAAACUUGUGUAGUUUUCCUCAGCACGUCCCUUGAGUUCCUUAUCCUGUGGGCUCACCCUCUCAGGUCACACAGUAAAGGCCAGAAAUUGAUCAAUUCCUACAAAACGAAGUAAGCCACAACAACCACAGAACUGUGCUGCUACUUUUUAUUCUAUGACAUGUUUCGGAUCACAUGGACCCUUUCUCAAGUGUGUGACUUGAGAAAGACACACUUGUGAAAGGGUCCAUGUGAUCCGAAACAUGUGGUGGAACAAAGAGUAGCAGCACAGUUCUGUGGUUGUUGUGGCCUGCUAUUUAUGGUUUAGUUUGUAUGAAUGGUAUUAUAUUUAAAUAGCGCCCACAUGACACUAGGUAAAGGUUCAUUAUUACGUACGUAGUCCUCCGUUGUCCAAAUUUACGUUCCCUCUCCAGGAGAGUCCUUAAGCAGCCUCCAGCGACAUACUCCAUGAGGAAGAAGAGAUGGUGGUCUGACUGGAAGGUGGCAUGUAGAUCCACGGUGAAGGGGUGGACAGCUGCUGUGAGAGCGACCCGUUUCUCGACCAAAAUCCUGAAUAUUAAAAGCAUUCAUUAUCAAAACAAGCCAGUAGAGAAAGUGUCAUUCUGCCCAUAGGAGCCACAUUAUUGUCUUAGAUUAUUUAGUAUAGUACUAAUGGGAGAUGUUAGUGGAAGUCCCAAGACACAUAACUAGUUAGGCAUUGCUUGCAUUAUCAGGGUAAUAUCAGAGCGCUACAGCUGUUUGAAAGGGACAUGGGUAAGUAAUAAAGCCAACUAGCCAAGUUGAUCAUUCCCAUAAACUGACCUUUCAACAUCCCUUAAGGUGGUGAUCUUCUGUUUUUUUAGGAUCUUCAGGGCAUACGAUCUUUUUGAUGCCGUGUGUUGCACAUGGAGAACCUGGAAUGAGAGAAUAUAUUGAGGGAAUUUUGAAGAAACACAGGAAGAUACAUGCAGAACCUCCAAACCCCUUGCAGAGAGCUCCAAGAAUCCAUCUUGCCCCCAACAUUGCAAGUUGCAGGUUGUACUGUAUCUUACUCUGGUUCCGUCGUCACAGCCGGUGGAAAGUCUUCUGCUGUGUUUUCUGGAUGAGUUGAGCCGAUGUUCACUUCAUCCGCAGACAUCUCACUAUAGGGAAAAUAAUCACUAAAACUGUUGGCCAAGCCCUCCAGCUCCAGUGAGGAGCAAAUCUGCUGGUGUCAGUAGCUGCUACUUCUCAAUCUCUCUCUGCGCUGAAAUGUCACCAGGCUCAAGAUUUUAUUCUCCACUGGAGUGUUUAUGUGGGAAUUGUUCAGCAAGAGUGAAAUUCCAUUUGAACAUUUUUUCAACUCAGAGGCUGUGGAUAAAAUCUCAGCUGGACUGAGGCUCUUCAGACCCAAGAUGUCUCCCGAAAGAGUGUACAUGCUGAUGAACAACUGCUGGUAAGAGUUUAUGGAAUGAAUUGACGCGCGACACAGUCCGGAACUGAUCAGUGCAAGGGAGCCGGAAUAUGUCAGUAAGAAGCAGAAGAAAAGAGAAGGAUAAAGCAGAAGGGAUAGAAUUGAGAUCAGAAGACAGAGGAAGACAUUUCCCUGGGACACUCUCAGGCUGCUUGCAACUGCCUGGUGGGGGAAUCAUUGGUCGUCAAGGUUUCAGAUUUCGGGAUGGCCAGGAGUGUUCGUGUAGGAAGUGUUCAGCAAGUGUGAAAUUCCAUUUGAACAUUGUUUUCAACUCUGAGGCUGUGGUCUCCUGAAAGAGUGUACAUGCUGAUGAACAACUGCUGGUAAGAGGCAACAAGCUGGGCAGUCAGAAAGGGGGGAACACGUGCGUCUGCUGAAUCCCUCACCUACGCCCAGCGAGGAUCCCCAAACUGGGUCUUCAUGGGACAAUUUCCUGCAGAGCCUCCAGCUGGUCCCACGUCGCAGAGGAUGGAUCUGGUGCCUGUAACCCCCCAGGUGCCACUGAUGGAUGCGGGUCAGGUGAAUCGCUACAUAAAACAGAACACAAAGCUAUCAGGCGGCCUCUAAGGACACGUUUGUGGGUUUCCCAAAGCAUCGCAGGGUUGAUUCCUGUUUUGUAGGCUGCAUUGGGUUUGCCAGUGGAUGUGUCCUGUAAAGGAUUUAUAGUGAUAUUCAUCUCGCCCCCGAUGAGCAACAGGCCCUCCGUGAAUGUCUUCAACCGGGAUUCUAUUUCGAGUAUCAGUACAUUGAAAAGCUCCACCCUGAUGUUAUCCACCGAUUCCCGCAGAAGGUUUUUAAUAUCCUCCUUCGUUGGUAAUGCUUUGAGAUGGGGAAAUCUUUCUGGGUGCGCCACAUCUUUCUGAUCUUAAGAAUAAGGGCAGGACUCCACAGACGUUUCCCGCCACGCUGCGCAAAAACACAGGCGUUACGUUGGAUGCAACGGAAAUA
Molecule: long non-coding RNA, 3896 nt
Organism: Xenopus laevis (African clawed frog)
Lineage: Eukaryota; Metazoa; Chordata; Amphibia; Anura; Pipidae
Exons: 17
Source: RefSeq, a predicted model, not a curated record